RNAcentral lists this transfer RNA (69 nucleotides) under Phyllocrania paradoxa. RNAcentral describes it as "tRNA-Leu". The record is from RNAcentral. Lineage: Eukaryota; Metazoa; Arthropoda; Insecta; Mantodea; Hymenopodidae.
ACUAUUUUGGCAGAACAGUGCAGUGGAUUUAGAAUCUAUUAAUAUGAUGAUUUAUCAUCAUAAGUAGUA